UAACACUUUGGGGUAUCCACCCAGUGUUAUAAACAGCUGAGUAGCAUAUUAUAUAGGUACUUUAUAGGUUAGAAAAUGGUAUGUUUGUUUUGGUAAGAUUUGGUAGUUGAAAUGUCUUCGACACGGAUGUCAUAGUGGGUCAGUCAAGAACUGAGACCUGUAGUGAUAUUUUCAACUUUACAUAUACGCUUUUAGCUAUAUUGAGUGGACAAAACUUACCGGAGCGGUAGGUCAGUCUGUGCGUUCACUCCGUUGCAUUUUGCGCAUCCAUGUCGUGUUCCUGCGUUGUGCUAGGACACAGGCACUUUGUUUUCGUUGGGGUAUAUCCAUUUCACAAUUGAAAUACAUUUUAAAACAUAUAAAUACCACGUAUUAACAGUAUGAUUUCGAUAAAACCGAGCAGUUGUUUAUUUCAGCGGUAGACACUGACGGCUGUCAAUGUCAUUUGGUUCUUUUUGUCCAUGGUUCCGUAACAGACGGUCGGUCACACUUGUUGUACGGCAAUAAACAUAUACUUGUGGUUCUUUUAUCUUUUUAUAAUUUCCAAUUAUUAAUAAAGUCCAUAUUAUUAGCUUCCCAAAAUGAGUAACUCUUUUUAUUGUUGAUGUUUCGAAUUAUUCCGAGAGUCAAACCGGUCAGUCGUGGUAUCCAUUGAAUGGGAAGUUUUUCAUUCAUCAGUUUGUCUGUGGUUUCUCGGAUUGGAAUUUUGAUAAAUCAUUGUUCGAUCGAUCUUCAGGAUGUGAAGGAUCUUAGAAAAUCUUUGGGCAAUCAAUCUUAGGGCUCGUCCCAAAAUGUGCAUAAUUUAGCGUCUUAGAGCCUACCUAAAAUGGCGGCUGCUAAUCUUUUCUCUUCAAUUUAACAUAACUUGGUGAGUUUCCACACUUUUUAAAUAUAUAAAGAAGGAAAGGCGGAGGUAGUGUGUCCUUUCGCAAAUGGGUUAAUAUAGUGUUUUAUGUGGAUUUUCCAGCAAAACCUAAUGUAACGUCAACCACCUCUUCGUCUUGCCACGCGGUCUGCAGGCGCCGUCGUUGGUAUAGGAAAUAAUGGACCCGGCAUAAACCCCGGUAAGUCAUUUAACCGCUUCAUUGCCGUAAUUUAAAUCCCGCUGUGCCUCAGUUUAAAAUAUAAUUUUUCUAUAAAACUAAACGUGUUAAAACAUAAUUUUUUAACCUAGAACAUUUUCUUUGUUCUUAGGGUCUUUCCUGGACCCUGGUUUUUUCUGGACCCUGGUUUUUUCUGGACCCUGGUUCUCCUGGACCCUGGUUUUUUCUGGACCCUGGUUCUCUAAGGCUGUGCCAUCCGGUGGCAGCGUUCUUCUUGGCAGUGUCCGUGAAGUUAAGACUUUUAUGAUAUACCUUUAGUUAAAUAUGGACCCUUUACGCUGAACAGGUAACCUGUAAUCCCUGUGAGCAAUUGCUUACUGCUAAACAUCCCCGGAGGUUGGGGCAUAACUUUUACUGUAGACAGUGUUAUGUUAGUAAGACAAAUUUUGAUAUUGUUGUCCAUAGACACAGAGAUGCCUAUGAUGUAUUUAGUGUAAAUUUCAAGAAAUAGUGGUGUCACUAAGAAGUAUUUAGUAUUACUUAUUUACUAAUAAAUAACUCGUGUUGACCGUAGCGGGUCAUAUAUAUUUAAGGAAUAAAAGGUGUGUAUUAAAUAAAUUUGGGAUUUUCAUUUGGAUAUGUCAUGCGCUUGAUGAGAGUAGUAUCCUGGCGUCCUACCUUAAAUUUUUGGAUACCUAUUUUCACUCCAUAGUGGCCUGAACCGCGACCCUAUCUAUGAUUGUAGUUAGCCGAAGGUAUUUGUGAACUUUUCAGUAGUGAAGUUUGGUGAGUUCUGGAUCACUCCAUAGAAACACGUUUCCUUCUAUGGAAACGGUCUUUAAUAAUAAUAGAAUCAGAUCUUCUCCAUAUCCAGGGCUCACCCACACCUAUUACAGUGGCAUGCCCAACGUAUGGCCUAUGGAGUAUGACAUGUCCAAGUGAAACAUUUUUGCAUUAUUUUAGUAUUAAGGUUAUUUUAUGUAAAAGGGAUUGCAAGUUAUUGUUUUAAAUUGUUGCUUGAGUUGGAGGUUAAACUUAUAAAUUUAACCAACUUAUAAAUAAAACUAUACUACGCUAAAUAAUUAGCCUUACAUAAGAGAAAUUUU
Molecule: long non-coding RNA, 2149 nt
Organism: Cydia pomonella (codling moth)
Lineage: Eukaryota; Metazoa; Arthropoda; Insecta; Lepidoptera; Tortricidae
Exons: 2
Source: RefSeq, a predicted model, not a curated record